This 1393-nucleotide long non-coding RNA is filed under the name Panax ginseng (ginseng). RNAcentral describes it as "long non-coding RNA (PGIN_LNC008369)". Lineage: Eukaryota; Viridiplantae; Streptophyta; Magnoliopsida; Apiales; Araliaceae. The record is from RNAcentral.
CAAGGGAAAGUAAGUAGCAAAAGCCUUUUUGUUUUUUUGUAAUCUUCUUCAGCUUGCAGUCGUACUCGUCUGAAGGACCCCAUAAAAAGGUUCAGGCGUACAGCCAAUCGGCCAUCAGUGUAUUUUCAUCUAGUCUCUCUGUUUUAGCCUUAUUCUGAAUUUGAGAUCUGAAACCUUUUUAAGGUAAUUAAUAGUAAUUUGUAGCUUCUGGUAUUAUUUUCUCCUAACCUAAUAUUUAUUUAGCUAGACGAACGGAUAUUCGUAGAUUCAUAAAUUGCUUGUAAUCAGAAUCUUUCAUUUCUUAGUUCAUAUUUAUGUGUUUGCAGCUGUAUUAAGAGCUUGGAGAUAUCAAGUUUCUGUAUAGAUUACCAGAAUUAGUCGCUUUUAAACUCUGUUUAUCACGAGGCAAGCCUGGUUUUUGGAGUUUAAACUACUUAUGAUGCUACUACCAUAAAAAUUGAUUGUGUUAUUUCUGAAUUCUGAUUUACUUACCCAAUGUUCUAUCUUUAAGUUCAAUUUUGUUUGUUAAUGUGUAUCAUUUCAGAAAUCCUACAGCUAGUGUGUGUGUUUUCUUUGCAUGGAUUUGUAAAAGUAAGCUAGCGAACAUAUUAGUGUAUCAUGUAUAUAUAUACUAGUUGUGUCCGGUGACUCCGGCAAUACAUGGACCGGUAAGUUUUAUCCCAAACUUUGGACUGACCAGAUGAUUAAUUAGGGUGAGCGGGAAAUUCAAAAUCAAUAUCCGAGUUAGAUCUGUUUUUCAAACAUUCCAAUACACAGUUCUGUGUCAUCUAUGAUUUUUCUAAUCUUUUUUUUCUUUUUAUUUAUUCUAGUUAAGUGUCUAUUUGUUGUUUAGAAGAGUCUCUGGUUUGCCACCAAAAAGAGUUUCUUCAAACAAAUUACUCGAGGGAUACUUGGCGUUAACUUUUGUUUCUUCUGAAUUCAAAUCACAGUCAUGCUGUUUAGUUCCUGCAAUUAGUCAUACGUUCUCAUAUGAUGCUUGCGAAUAUUCAUUGUUAAAUCUGAGUAAAUUAAAUAUUUUUUGAUUCUCUUAACAGUCCUUUUGACUUGCUUGUUUAGAAUUUUUUAGAUCAUUAUCUGUCAUAAAAUAAAUACCUUUAUAAGUUAAGCAGACUCACAAUUUUACCAAUAUGAUUAAUGCCAUUAUCAGAUUCUAUUUAGUUCAUUUGUCCUUUUGGUUUGUUCCAUAGCAUGUUUAAAUUUUAAUCUUUGCAACUCUGAUUUUGUUUGUACUAGUUAUGUUAGAUCAUUGUUUUGGUAAAUAAUUAACUAAUUAUUGCUACAAGUGCUCUUUCUGAAGUUGUAGGCUAUAAUCAUUUGAUAUGGUACUUGUAUAGAAGCUCAUUUAUAUUUCCUGGUUCCAUGUCACUUUUUC